Molecule: ribosomal RNA, 1372 nt
Filed under: uncultured bacterium
Lineage: Bacteria
Description: bacterial SSU rRNA
Rfam family: Bacterial small subunit ribosomal RNA
Source: RNAcentral
GAUGAACGCUGGCGGCGUGCCUAAUACAUGCAAGUCGAGCGAACGGACGAGAAGCUUGCUUCUCUGAUGUUAGCGGCGGACGGGUGAGUAACACGUGGAUAACCUACCUAUAAGACUGGGAUAACUUCGGGAAACCGGAGCUAAUACCGGAUAAUAUUUUGAACCGCAUGGUUCAAAAGUGAAAGACGGUCUUGCUGUCACUUAUAGAUGGAUCCGCGCUGCAUUAGCUAGUUGGUAAGGUAACGGCUUACCAAGGCAACGAUGCAUAGCCGACCUGAGGGGGUGAUCGGCCACACUGGAACUGAGACACGGUCCAGACUCCUACGGGAGGCAGCAGUAGGGAAUCUUCCGCAAUGGGCGAAAGCCUGACGGAGCAACGCCGCGUGAGUGAUGAAGGUCUUCGGAUCGUAAAACUCUGUUAUUAGGGAAGAACAUAUGUGUAAGUAACUGUGCACAUCUUGACGGUACCUAAUCAGAAAGCCACGGCUAACUACGUGCCAGCAGCCGCGGUAAUACGUAGGUGGCAAGCGUUAUCCGGAAUUAUUGGGCGUAAAGCGUGCGUAGGCGGUUUUUUAAGUCUGAUGUGAAAGCCCACGGCUCAACCGUGGAGGGUCAUUGGAAACUGGAAAACUUGAGUGCAGAAGAGGAAAGUGGAAUUCCAUGUGUAGCGGUGAAAUGCGCAGAGAUAUGGAGGAACACCAGUGGCGAAGGCGACUUUCUGGUCUGUAACUGACGCUGAUGUACGAAAGCGUGGGGAUCAAACAGGAUUAGAUACCCUGGUAGUCCACGCCGUAAACGAUGAGUGCUAAGUGUUAGGGGGUUUCCGCCCCUUAGUGCUGCAGCUAACGCAUUAAGCACUCCGCCUGGGGAGUACGACCGCAAGGUUGAAACUCGAAGGAAUUGACGGGGACCCGCACAAGCGGUGGAGCAUGUGGUUUAAUUCGAAGCAACGCGAAGAACCUUACCAAAUCUUGACAUCCUUUGACAACUCUAGAGAUAGAGCCUUCCCCUUCGGGGGACAAAGUGACAGGUGGUGCAUGGUUGUCGUCAGCUCGUGUCGUGAGAUGUUGGGUUAAGUCCCGCAACGAGCGCAACCCUUAAGCUUAGUUGCCAUCAUUAAGUUGGGCACUCUAAGUUGACUGCCGGUGACAAACCGGAGGAAGGUGGGGAUGACGUCAAAUCAUCAUGCCCCUUAUGAUUUGGGCUACACACGUGCUACAAUGGACAAUACAAAGGGCAGCGAAACCGCGAGGUCAAGCAAAUCCCAUAAAGUUGUUCUCAGUUCGGAUUGUAGUCUGCAACUCGACUACAUGAAGCUGGAAUCGCUAGUAAUCGUGGAUCAGCAUGCUACGGUGAAUACGUUCCCGGGUCU